UGUAACAGGUCAGUGUGAUUUCUACACGUCGAGAGAGGGGUUUCUAUCAUACAUUUCUGGUGUCAUAAGCCAAAGGGACAACCCCAUCGUAGCAGCUAUGCGAAAUAGGAUUAUAGCCCUGGCGGAGUCCGGGACCUUCGUGAGGUGGUUCAUGACCAAUAUUCCCAACGCCACAAGGUGCCUCAACCUCCCGAAGAAGUUCACUGUCCGCUCCUCUCUCUCGCUGACCAACCUCUGGGGAAUGUAUGUGGUUCUUGGGAGCGGAGUUGCUGUCAGUUUACUGGUGUUUUGGCUGGAGGUCGUCAGCGUCGGUGUUCUCCAGCUGGGAGAACACAGGCUGGGUGUCUACUAAUUGUAUGAAAAGUAUAAACACAAUAUAUCCUUCUAUUAAGUUUAUUUCAGAAACUCCUGACUAUUGAUUCCAGCUAUAUGUUCAUAUUAUCACUGUAUAAUGGAGUAUUAUAUGGACUUACAAAUAAAUAAUAUUUAGAAAAUAGAU
Molecule: non-coding RNA, 499 nt
Organism: Procambarus clarkii (red swamp crayfish)
Lineage: Eukaryota; Metazoa; Arthropoda; Malacostraca; Decapoda; Cambaridae
Source: RefSeq, a predicted model, not a curated record